RNAcentral lists this long non-coding RNA (878 nucleotides) under Equus caballus (horse). RNAcentral describes it as "lncRNA (ENSECAG00000049208.1)". Lineage: Eukaryota; Metazoa; Chordata; Mammalia; Perissodactyla; Equidae. The record is from RNAcentral.
AAAGCCAGUGAUGCUGAAAUAUCUGGGAAAUGGGAAGAUUAUUUCUAGAGGUUGGAAGCAAAUGUUCAAGCUGGGAGUAUGGCAGGCACUGACCUUUGUGUGCCCCCACUCCCAACUCUAUUCAUCUAUUCCUAGGAUCUGUAUAGAAAGAAGUACAUGGCUAUGUGUUUUCAACUCAGCUCAUCAUUUGAGGAGAAUAGCUGUUACAUGUAGCACGCUGGAGAAAAGAAGCAGUUUGAUGCUGCUUCACACAGAACCCAGCAAAAUCCGUCAGAGACCGCUCCACAUCCAGAGACAAUUUACCUGGUUGGCCCUCAGGGCAGAAAUGUGGAUGACAAAGAGCCAAGGAUGUCAGAUUUUGAGCCUACUGCUGGCUGAGUUUCUUAGCUUCUAGCUGACAAACCCAAAGUCUAUUACUGAAGUGGAAACAAUUAAAAGCUCUGGUUUUUUCAUUGUAAUGUAAUUACAGCAACAUCUCUCAUACAAAUUAUGGCUCAUUUACUCUUCAAGGCAAUUAGCAUCUGGACUGCCACCAAGGAAACCCUUUUUAGGUUGCAAAGUGGUAUCGCUUGGUGCUCUCAGGAAGCUGGAGACUCCAGUUCCUGAAAGAAGAGGACUUGUUCAACGCAGGAGUGGGGAGAGAGUUCCCUUCUUCAUAGAUGUGGCCUCUCAUUGAAAAUACUUGUGCUCUGACACCUCCUGGAACGUCACUGGCAGCCAAUGGAGGAUUUCCUUUGGUGGAUAUAUUAGUGUCUGAAAGAAAGCAGUCAAUCAUAAUUUCACAGCAGCUCUGGGAGAAUCAGGAUUUUCUCUCUUCUAGUGAGUACUGGCUCAAAAACUCUCGAGUUGCAUCUGGUAUCAGUCACCACUCUUGCCAG